Molecule: ribosomal RNA, 492 nt
Filed under: uncultured bacterium
Lineage: Bacteria
Description: partial 16S ribosomal RNA
Rfam family: Bacterial small subunit ribosomal RNA
Source: RNAcentral
AGUGAACGCUGGCGGUAGGCCUAACACAUGCAAGUCGAACGGCAGCACAGUAAGAGCUUGCUCUUACGGGUGGCGAGUGGCGGACGGGUGAGGAAUACAUCGGAAUCUACUUUUUCGUGGGGGAUAACGUAGGGAAACUUACGCUAAUACCGCAUACGACCUACGGGUGAAAGCAGGGGAUCUUCGGACCUUGCGCGAUUGAAUGAGCCGAUGUGGGAUUAGCUAGUUGGCGGGGUAAAGGCCCACCAAGGCGACGAUCCGUAGCUGGUCUGAGAGGAUGAUCAGCGGCACUGGAACUGAGCCAGGGGCAAGACUACUAAGGGAGGGAGCAGUGGGGAAUAGUGGACAAUGGGCGCAAGCCUGAUCCAGCCAGACCGAGUGGGUGAAGAAGGCCUUCGGGUUGUAAAGCCCUUUUGUUGGGAAAGAAAAGCAGCAGGUUAAUACCCCGCUGUUCUGACGGUACCCAAAGAAUAAGCACCGGCUAACUUCGUG